RNAcentral lists this non-coding RNA (30 nucleotides) under Mus musculus (house mouse). Lineage: Eukaryota; Metazoa; Chordata; Mammalia; Rodentia; Muridae. The record is from RNAcentral.
UAGAAAGAGCGCCCAGACAACUUUAUCACU